Molecule: long non-coding RNA, 775 nt
Organism: Bactrocera tryoni
Lineage: Eukaryota; Metazoa; Arthropoda; Insecta; Diptera; Tephritidae
Exons: 4
Source: RefSeq, a predicted model, not a curated record
UGCCCGUUUCUGCAGCGCUUUUGGUGUGAUUUAGUUUUGGUGAAGAAACUCAUACAAAAAAAAUCAACAGUGGUUAACUUUGAAACUUACAUGAUACUCAGACCGUGAUCUGUUUUUAUUAAUUCAAAUUCAUUUACAAAUAAAUCGACUGCAAUUCAUUUCCAAUUUGAAUUUCAAUCGAAUAAAAUUGUAUUCUUUCGCCAUUAAAAAAUCAUCAAUUGUGUUAGUGCGGUUGUGGAAGUGUGAAUGCUGUGCUCGCUUCGUGACUCGGUGCAACGGCUGUGUGGCGGUGGCAAUCAGCGCGGCGUGGCGGCAAACACGUGUCUGCAACAGAGCGACUGCACACAGCUGCAAAAAUAACAUCAAACAACAGCUGACAUAAGUACUGUUGCUUUGGCUUGUCUAUGUUCGCGCGUUCGUGAAAGUGUGUGUAUAUAUGUGGCUCUCGCGCGGAUAUUGAAUCCGAUUUCUUAGUAAGCAGCUGAUUUGCGAGCACGUCAAUAAAUGAGCUAGACAAAUAUAUCCAAUAACACAGUGCACAACAACAACAAGCUUGAAAACGGAUGCGAAAAUCAUUUGAAAGCUCAAUGCUCGUGAGAAAAACGGAUGAAAAAGUAAAUAAAAAAGUAAUAAAAAAAUAAUACAAUAACAAUCCUUCUAGCUCAGUUUUUGCAACUGACUUUCGAAGCAACAUCCUCCAGUUUGUUACUCGGGAUUUUCUAGGUAAUACUUAUAUCUGUUUCGGAUUUACUACCUGUACUUAUAUUUGUUUCGG